This is a long non-coding RNA of Xiphophorus couchianus (Monterrey platyfish), 490 nucleotides long. RefSeq lists it as uncharacterized. The transcript is spliced from 2 exons. The record is from RefSeq and is a predicted model, not a curated record. NCBI's taxonomy places the organism in Eukaryota, Metazoa, Chordata, Actinopteri, Cyprinodontiformes, Poeciliidae.
CGCUCUCCGUGCGUUCUCUGUGCGCUCUCGGCGCAUGCGCUCAGUGAAUGGUUCUUUUCGGGAUAGGUUUCGAUUAGCGUAGUUCGAAGCAUUCAAAUAAGGUGUGUACAGUGAGAAUUCUCAUUUCACUUGUGCGUUCUGCGAAAGAACAACGGUUUUUUCGAUUUGCUACGAGCGGAGCUAACUCUAGCAAAAAUUAGCUCAACUGCAAUGGCGCAGAGGAAGAUGUCAGAUGUGGAGGCGCUGGAAGAAAUAUUUCGGAGCGAUGUUGAGCUGGAAGACUCUUCUUAUAGCUAGUGGGAUUCGGACGAGGAGGAAGAGGAGAGAGGCAGAGAGGAGAGACCCCCUGAGAGCCGGACACAGCUGACAGACUGCUGACAGACUUGAUCUCGGUGAUGUUCAAGUGGAAGCCGAACCAUCAAGCUCAGAUGGAGCUGAACCUCCCCCCACCUCUCAUGAUUCUUCAUCUUCUUUGAGGUAAGAUGUCCAU